RNAcentral lists this ribosomal RNA (496 nucleotides) under uncultured bacterium. RNAcentral describes it as "partial 16S ribosomal RNA". It matches the Rfam family "Bacterial small subunit ribosomal RNA", at positions 29 to 507 of the family's 1533-position model. The record is from RNAcentral.
AUGAACGCUGGCGGCGUGCCUAAUACCUGCAAGUCGAGCGAACAGACGAGGAGCUUGCUCCUCUGACGUUAGCGGCGGACGGGUGAGUAACACGUGGAUAACCUACCUAUAAGACUGGGAUAACUUCGGGAAACCGGAGCUAAUACCGGAUAAUAUAUUGAACCGCAUGGUUCAAUAGUGAAAGACGGUUUUGCUGUCACUUAUAGAUGGAUCCGCGCCGCAUUAGCUAGUUGGUAAGGUAACGGCUUACCAAGGCAACGAUGCGUAGCCGACCUGAGAGGGUGAUCGGCCACACUGGAACUGGGACACGGUCCAGACUCCUACGGGAGGCAGCAGUAGGGAAUCUUCCGCAAUGGGCGAAAGCCUGACGGAGCAACGCCGCGUGAGUGAUGAAGGUCUUCGGAUCGUAAAACUCUGUUAUUAGGGAAGAACAAAUGUGUAAGUAACUAUGCACGUCUUGACGGUACCUAAUCAGAAAGCCACGGCUAACUACGUG